AGCAGCCGCGGUAAUUCCAGCUCCAAUAGCGUAUAUUAAAGUUGUUGCAGUUAAAAAGCUCGUAGUUGAAUUUCGGGAUUGACGUGAUGGUCGUGCCUUAAGGGGUAUGAACUGUCGCAGUUGAUUUCUCACCUUCUGGAGAAGCAUGAUGUCCUUAAUUGGGUGUCAUGUGGAACCAGGACCUUUACCUUGAAAAAAUUAGAGUGUUUAAAGCAGGCAUUUUGCUCGAAUACAUUAGCAUGGAAUAAUAGAAUAGGACGGCAUGGUUCUAUUUUGUUGGUUUCUAGGAUCACCGUAAUGAUUAAUAGGGAUAGUUGGGGGCAUUAGUAUUCAAUUGUCAGAGGUGAAAUUCUUGGAUUUAUUGAAGACUAACUACUGCGAAAGCAUUUGCCAAGGAUGUUUUCAUUAAUCAAGAACGAAAGUUAGGGGAUCGGAAGACGAUCAGAUACCGUCGUAGUCUUAACCAUAAACUAUGCCGACUAGGAAUCAGACGAUGUUAAUUUUUAAUGACUUCGUUU
This 518-nucleotide ribosomal RNA is filed under the name uncultured Entrophospora. RNAcentral describes it as "SSU rRNA". It matches the Rfam family "Eukaryotic small subunit ribosomal RNA", at positions 569 to 1081 of the family's 1831-position model. The record is from RNAcentral. Lineage: Eukaryota; Fungi; Glomeromycota; Glomeromycetes; Entrophosporales; Entrophosporaceae.